RNAcentral lists this ribosomal RNA (253 nucleotides) under uncultured microorganism. RNAcentral describes it as "partial small subunit ribosomal RNA". It matches the Rfam family "Bacterial small subunit ribosomal RNA", at positions 524 to 776 of the family's 1533-position model. The record is from RNAcentral.
UACGUACUGUGCGAACGUUAUUCGGAAUCACUGGGCUUAAAGGGUGCGUAGGCGGCCAAUUAAGUAGGGUGUGAAAUCCCCCGGCUCAACCGGGGAAUUGCGCUCUAAACUGGUUGGCUUGAGUGAGAUAGGGGUGUGCGGAACUUCCAGUGGAGCGGUGAAAUGUGUUGAUAUUGGAAGGAACGCCGGUAGCGAAAGCGGCACACUGGGUCUCAACUGACGCUGAGGCACGAAAGCCAGGGUAGCGAACGGG